This 507-nucleotide ribosomal RNA is filed under the name uncultured Planctomycetota bacterium. RNAcentral's name for it is "bacterial SSU rRNA". It matches the Rfam family "Bacterial small subunit ribosomal RNA", at positions 394 to 896 of the family's 1533-position model. Lineage: Bacteria; Pseudomonadati; Planctomycetota. The record is from RNAcentral.
ACGCCGCGUGCGGGAUGAAGGCCUUCGGGUUGUAAACCGCUGUCGUAGAGGAGGAAAUGCGGUGGGGUCUCCCCAUCGUUUGACCUAUUCUAGGAGGAAGGACGGGCUAAGUUCGUGCCAGCAGCCGCGGUAAGACGAACCGUCCAAACGUUAUUCGGAAUUAUUGGGCUUAAAGAGUGCGUAGGCUGUGCAGUAAGUUGGGUGUGAAAUCCCUCGGCUCAACCGAGGAACUGCGCCGAAUACUGCUGUGCUAGAGGAAGAUAGGGGUAAGCGGAACUGAUGGUGGAGCGGUGAAAUGCGUUGAUAUCAUCAGGAACACCGGUGGCGAAGGCGGCUUACUGGAUCUUUUCUGACGCUGAUGCACGAAAGCUAGGGGAGCGAACGGGAUUAGAUACCCCGGUAGUCCUAGCUGUAAACGAUGAGCACUUGGUCGGAGGCUCCUCCAUAGGCUUCUGGCCGUAGCGAAAGUGUUAAGUGCUCCGCCUGGGGAGUAUGGUCGCAAGGCUG